AAAGCCUGCAAGGGGAGCCUUUGGCUGAGAGUGGACAUUUUCUAUGUUCUGACCCUUUGAACCUGUCAGUUAGCGCUGGCGUAGGGAUUGUGGACUUUUUGAUGG
RNAcentral lists this non-coding RNA (105 nucleotides) under Oceanobacillus oncorhynchi. RNAcentral describes it as "TPP sequence". It matches the Rfam family "TPP riboswitch aptamer (THI element)". From Rfam's summary of the family: Vitamin B(1) in its active form thiamin pyrophosphate (TPP) is an essential coenzyme that is synthesised by coupling of pyrimidine and thiazole moieties in bacteria. The previously detected thiamin-regulatory element, thi box was extended, resulting in a new, highly conserved RNA secondary structure, the THI element, which is widely distributed in eubacteria and also occurs in some archaea. Analysis of operon structures identified a large number of new candidate thiamin-regulated genes, mostly transporters, in various prokaryotic organisms. The record is from Rfam by way of RNAcentral. Lineage: Bacteria; Bacillati; Bacillota; Bacilli; Caryophanales; Bacillaceae.